RNAcentral lists this transfer RNA (76 nucleotides) under Aquirhabdus parva. RNAcentral describes it as "Moraxellaceae bacterium HYN0046 tRNA-Arg". It matches the Rfam family "tRNA". Rfam says of the family: Transfer RNA (tRNA) molecules are approximately 80 nucleotides in length. Their secondary structure includes four short double-helical elements and three loops (D, anti-codon, and T loops). The record is from RNAcentral. Lineage: Bacteria; Pseudomonadati; Pseudomonadota; Gammaproteobacteria; Moraxellales; Moraxellaceae.
ACGCCUUUAGCUCAACUGGAUAGAGCACCUGCCUCCUAAGCGGAAGAAGUGGGUUCGAGUCCCGCAGGGCGUACCA